Molecule: long non-coding RNA, 956 nt
Filed under: Marmota monax (woodchuck)
Lineage: Eukaryota; Metazoa; Chordata; Mammalia; Rodentia; Sciuridae
Source: RNAcentral
AGCUUGAUUCCAUUUCUCUGCAGACAGGCUGAUCCUAUUGCGGAAGAGGGACCAUGUGGUCUGCUGGUUAGAGAGAAGUCCUGGAAGCCCGAAUGGGCCCGCGUCUUAUAACAUAGCUGAGCAACUGACUCACUGCAUAGCCUAGGUUACAUCGCUUAACCUCAUGGGGCUUGUUGUCCACCCAGCUGGAAAAUGUGGUAAGAAGUGAGGUUGGACUGAAAAUCAUUUGUGGUGCAGCUGAGUUGUUUUUCCACAGGGUACAGGAGGAGACUGACAGGUCUGACUGAAGGCAAGCCCGGUGGACUCCAGUGGGUAAAGGUAGGCCUCAGAAGAUACAAUGAGAGUUGGUUCAGGCUGGCGCAAGUAUUCUAUAAAGAAAUCUUCUCCUCUCUGCUGAACUGACAUACAUGUAUUUCUACCUCUGUCCCCAUAUGGCCUCAGUCCAUAAUCCUAGUUCUUUGUAAACGGAUGUUGGUUGGAUGAAGAUUCCCAGUUCACAGCGACUGUCGCCCCGCGCAAGGCAAGUACUCGGCAUUAUCCCAUGUCUUCCUUGCUACAGGAAACAGCAGAAUCUCCAGGGACUUAGAGUUGGAGCGGCUCUGCUGAUUAAGAGCUAAGUUGGAAGGAAAUGAGAAGCAAGGCUAAGAAUUUACAUAAAACACUAUGAACCUGAAUGUAAAGAUGAUCAAUUAAAAGCUAGUAAGUGAAAAGAGAAAACACGUUGAUGAAGAGAAUGUUUAUCAUAAUAGAAAAUUGAAAAUUAAUUCUGCUUUGGGUAUUUGAAGACAUUAAAAGCUGUCCCAGAGAUGUUGGAUUCAGAUUCCAGGGUAUAGAGUUUCGAUUAUUUUGUCAGUGCAGAUAGGACUUUGAAGGUGAGACUUCUGAUAAAACCCACAAAAUUCCAGAUAGCGAUUUACUCUAAACUAUGAAGGGAAUUUCCAAAGGGCCUGGGAAAC